CCAUGUUCUCCACUGAUGAGAAUAAAACCUGAGUUUGUGCUUAACUUGUUCACUAUGUAGCCUUCUAAACUGUGCUGCUACAAAUUUUAAGUCUUCUGCUGUAAGAGCAAAUGCCUCCACUUCAGAAAUAGCUUUGACGGUUCGGGUGGAUGAAGGUAGGAUGAUGGUGGUGUGUGGGUCUAAAGCCCAUGUCAGCAACUCUUCACAACAGAAGUCCCCAGGGCCAAUUCUGCUUGAGUUGAAGAAUCCGGUGCGUCCACCAUUGGUGGUGUAAGAUUCAAGAUCGCCUCGAAUUAUGAAGAGCAUUUGAUUCACAGGAUCACCUUCAUGCAGAAGAAACAUACCUUUUGCACAUAAUUCAAGCUUUAGCCUCUCACAAAUUGCAUCCAGUGUUGUUUCAUCCAUUUGAUCAAACAGUGGGACUCGUCGAACUAGAUCAAUGCAUAAAUGACGUUUGACCUUUCUCUGAAGAUCUAUGGGAAGACUUUUGAUAAGGGAUUGUUCAUCAACACCUUUGGUAGCCAGCCACUUGUACUGAUCAUACUUUCUAAUAGACUGCCUUAGCUGGGGACUUAGCUGCCUGUAAUGCAUCCAUUUUUCUGUAUCUGUUCUCUUGAUCCUCCACUCUUCUAAUCGCUUAGUCAUGGAUUGAAGGAACCUUUGCAUAUUACCAAUGAGCAAUGCAAAGAGUACAAGACCAAGAAUCGCGACAAUGGUAACGAAAAUAUUUUCUCCAACAUGAAUGGUUGUAACUAGAUUUUGUCCUAGAGUACUCAGGUUUUUUAAACCCCACCAGAGACAAUAGAAGUACUUGUUCAUAAAAGCUGAACCUGCAACACUUAAUGAUACCGCAUCACCAUAUAUGCCAAACUGAUAAUUCAGUUCACUAUUUGGCUGACACUGAUUUGUAACGUUGCUUGACUUGAACCAGUCAACCCUUGUAGGGUCUUUAACAUUGCGGCAAUCGAAAUACUUAUUUGGGCAGUAUGGCUUCUCAAGAUUGCAGGCUCUAUGCCAGCAAUCUUCCUGUCUCUGAAUUGAUAAAAGGUACCAGCAAGCUCCUGAAACAUGGCCUGCUAACAUGAAAAGCAGAAGGUUGUAAGCUGCUCCGGCCCAAGAUGUUUGCAUGACAAUACCAGUAGCCUCAAUUUGUGAAGAAAGUGGGAAUAU
Molecule: unclassified non-coding RNA, 1170 nt
Filed under: Hevea brasiliensis (rubber tree)
Lineage: Eukaryota; Viridiplantae; Streptophyta; Magnoliopsida; Malpighiales; Euphorbiaceae
Source: RNAcentral